ACGGGAGGCAGCAGUGAGGAAUAUUGGGCAAUGGAGGCAACUCUGACCCAGCAACGCCGCGUGAAUGAUGAAGGUCUUCGGAUUGUAAAGUUCUGUGAUGGGGGACGAAGAAAGUGACGGUACCCCAAUAGCAAGCCUCGGCUAACUACGUGCCAGCAGCCGCGGUAAUACGUAGGAGGCAAGCGUUGUCCGGAAUGACUGGGCGUAAAGGGUGCGUAGGUGGCCAUUCAAGUUAGUGGUGAAAUUCCGGGGCUUAACCUCGGCGCUACCACUAAGACUGUAUGGCUUGAGUGCAGGAGAGGUAAGCGGAAUUCCUAGUGUAGCGGUGGAAUGCGUAGAUAUUAGGAAGAACACCAGUGGCGAAAGCGGCUUGCUGGCCUGUAACUGACACUGAGGCACGAAAGCGUGGGGAGCAAACAGGAUUAGAUACCCUGGUA
Molecule: ribosomal RNA, 437 nt
Rfam family: Bacterial small subunit ribosomal RNA